RNAcentral lists this transfer RNA (75 nucleotides) under Acidobacteriota bacterium. RNAcentral describes it as "Acidobacteria bacterium (soil metagenome) tRNA-Val". It matches the Rfam family "tRNA". From Rfam's summary of the family: Transfer RNA (tRNA) molecules are approximately 80 nucleotides in length. The record is from RNAcentral. Lineage: Bacteria; Pseudomonadati; Acidobacteriota.
GGGCGCUUGGCUCAGCGGUAGAGCACCGCCUUCACACGGCGGGGGUCACUGGUUCGAAUCCAGUAGCGCCCACCA